GAUGAACGCUGGCGGCGUGCCUAAUACAUGCAAGUAGAACGCUGAAGCUUGGUGCUUGCACCGAGCGGAUGAGUUGCGAACGGGUGAGUAACGCGUAGGUAACCUGCCUCUUAGCGGGGGAUAACUAUUGGAAACGAUAGCUAAUACCGCAUAAAAGUCGAUAUCGCAUGAUAUUGAUUUGAAAGGUGCAAAUGCAUCACUAAGAGAUGGACCUGCGUUGUAUUAGCUAGUUGGUGAGGUAACGGCUCACCAAGGCGACGAUACAUAGCCGACCUGAGAGGGUGAUCGGCCACACUGGGACUGAGACACGGCCCAGACUCCUACGGGAGGCAGCAGUAGGGAAUCUUCGGCAAUGGGGGCAACCCUGACCGGGCAACGCCGCGUGAGUGAAGAAGGUUUUCGGAUCGUAAAGCUCUGUUGUAAGAGAAGAACGAGUGUGAGAGUGGAAAGUUCACACUGUGACGGUAACUUACCAGAAAGGGACGGCUAACUACGUG
This 497-nucleotide ribosomal RNA is filed under the name uncultured bacterium. RNAcentral describes it as "partial 16S ribosomal RNA". It matches the Rfam family "Bacterial small subunit ribosomal RNA", at positions 28 to 507 of the family's 1533-position model. The record is from RNAcentral.